RNAcentral lists this ribosomal RNA (213 nucleotides) under uncultured soil bacterium. RNAcentral describes it as "partial 16S ribosomal RNA". It matches the Rfam family "Bacterial small subunit ribosomal RNA", at positions 26 to 242 of the family's 1533-position model. The record is from RNAcentral.
AGAUUGAACGCUAGCGGGAUGCUUUACACAUGCAAGUCGAACGGCAGCGCGGACUUCGGUCUGGCGGCGAGUGGCGAACGGGUGAGUAAUAUAUCGGAACGUGCCCAGUAGCGGGGGAUAACUACGCGAAAGCGUGGCUAAUACCGCAUACGCCCUACGGGGGAAAGGGGGGAUCGCAAGACCUCUCACUAUUGGAGCGGCCGAUAUCGAGUA